Molecule: long non-coding RNA, 1053 nt
Organism: Cebus imitator (Panamanian white-faced capuchin)
Lineage: Eukaryota; Metazoa; Chordata; Mammalia; Primates; Cebidae
Exons: 7
Source: RefSeq, a predicted model, not a curated record
CGAGGUCCUCUUCCAGGAUUGGCUGCCUCCUCAUAACCAUAAGAUAAUUAAAACUUGGGGGGAGGGCAGGGUUAAAAAAACUUUUUUUUUUUUUUUUUUUUUUUAUCAGCAGAGGAUAAUGCAAGUGUUUAACAGAUGCUUCGCUAUUAAACUAUUUUUUCCCCCAAGUCUCAAAUAUUGAAGAAUCUCUAACCAGGGACAGCAGCCCCAACGAAGACCUCGGCAGAUUGCAAAGUGCGGGCACCUCGAUUCCCCGAAUCUGUAGUGUGGCUGGUAUCGGUGUUCCUCUGGUUUAACUAGCCUGUUUGGCAUAACAAAUGAGACCCAAGUGCUCAUAGAACAUUCCAAAGAGUCAACAGAGAGAAGUGGAAACUAUUAGAAACAUGAUUGUGUUUGCAAAGGGAGACAUAAAUGUAAGCUUAGCUUGGCCAAAAUCUUAAAUUUAAGCACUGAAUCUAAUUACAGACCUACAUACAAAAAAGAUGUUUAGAAGUUGAUUCCGUGUAAUAGAUGUUACCUGCACGACUACUGGAAGCAUUUGAGUUUACUUAGUUAAAUAGAGAAGGGAAUGAUUAUCUCAUUUUCUUCAAACCAGGACAAAUUUGAUUUCUACACCAGAAUCUAGAAAACUGAAAGAAAUCAACAGGGAAAUGUUUAAAAAGAUGGGGAAAUUGAGGCAGAGAAAUCAAGACAUUUGCUGCAGGUCGUGCAGGCUAUGAAUGGAGCUGGAAUGUGAACGCAGGCCGUGUGACUCCAGAGCCCAUGUUCUUGAACUCUUAGGAAGACAGCAGCAACGUACCUGGUGCAGCAGCUGCUUAGCUGGAGUGGCUGACAAGGUUGGGAGAGGGUCCUGUUCCUCCAUGGAGUGGCUGCCGAGACACUGCUUACACCAAAGCUGCUUCUAUUCCUGAAAUAUGGAUUGUUAUUCUUUUCCCAUCCUUGUUGAACAUGAUACUCUUUUGUUCUUUCCUAUUCUCUUCUUUCCUUCCAGAUGGCUUCUACGGUUUUUAUGAUUCUGUAAUUCUAAGGAAGAAAGGAUAAUGAAAGUUGUAA